Ipomoea triloba (trilobed morning glory) is the source of this 1052-nucleotide long non-coding RNA. RefSeq lists it as uncharacterized. NCBI's taxonomy places the organism in Eukaryota, Viridiplantae, Streptophyta, Magnoliopsida, Solanales, Convolvulaceae. The record is from RefSeq and is a predicted model, not a curated record. The transcript is spliced from 4 exons.
CCCUCUCUCACUGUCUCGUUUACCCAAAGCAACAAAAUCAUCAACAACAAUGAAGCUCCGGUGCCAUGGAAUCCGGCGAAGGCAGUGUCUGGUCUUGGCGAGCGGUGGCAGCGAUGGGCGUCCUCUAUUCCGACGACCUCUGUAGAUCCGGCGUACUCCAUCAGCGGCGACGCAGUUCGGCGAUGCUGCCGCCUACACUCUGCUAGCACUGCCCAACGCCAAUGUCUUCUUCCUUGCACCGACUGCCGAUGUCUUCUUCUUCCUUGCGUUGACACCGGCUCGCCUCGUCGACCACUUCUCCGCCGAACGCAGCAGUUGCUCCGUCUUUCCUAUCGCCUCGUCGACCCCUCGUGAGCUCGUCCACCGACAGCAGCCAACAGUUCAGUACUCCGGUCUCUAGUGACCACGAGUACAGUACAAGGGGAUUUAUGAAACAAAAGUUCCAUUGGAGUUCAAUGCUAUUGUUCAGAUUGAUUGUGUUUGUAAGGUGGAUAAAGCAGCUAAGAAGCGGAAUGACCAGGACGGCUGGAGUCUCUGUGAACUGCAAAUGAAGACUUCCACUAAGUGUCCAUAUUUGGGCCAAUCAAUCUCUUUCUUCUACUUGUAUCAUAGAUGGGCGAGCGGUUUAUGUUGGAUAUUUUCCUCCAUCCAAGACAAUUUUUGUUGUAGUUGUUAAUCCUUUUCAAAACAAGGAAUUAACACCCAUGCAUAUACUUGAAAAGCUAUUCUGUGAGGCUUGCCAAACACUGUCAUCUCAUCCUCCAAUGGAAAAAGAAGGUAUCACUUUCAAGGUCAAUGACUUGUCAGUUGAGGACUACAUCACUGCCACUACUGCGAAAAAAUACGCGACAAAGCUUUCGGGCGUGACAUUAUGGAUACAUAUUCUACUAAUUCAAAUGAUGAAAACAUAGGAGAUGAUUAGAUUAUGUUUAUUAAUAUAAUUGGUAUUGUUUGUAAUGAUGUAAUAUUACACUUCUAUGCUUUUGUAUUGUGAAUUUGUGAUUGAGUUUGAAUGUUUUGAUAUAUAAUAUAUUUUACAAUUAUAUUAUUUA